Non-coding RNA from Chlorocebus sabaeus (green monkey), 1458 nucleotides. The record is from RefSeq and is a predicted model, not a curated record. Lineage: Eukaryota; Metazoa; Chordata; Mammalia; Primates; Cercopithecidae.
GAUCACACCACUGCACUCCAGUCUGGGGGAGAUAAAGCAAAAUUCAAAAAAAGAAAAGAGAAGAAGAGAAGAGAAGAGAAGAGGUCUGGAAACUUUGACAAAGUUGGCCAAAGGACGUAAUUGUCAACAUUGGUUAUAUUACCAAGGCUUUGACUGGAAUGUUGUGCACAAAAUCAGAAGAAUGAGAUAUGACCAGAGAGUUUUAAGGAACUAAGGCUGAUUUUAUGGAGCCAAUGCUUAUAAAAUCCCUUGGAAAAACUGGCAUGAUACCUAGUUACAGGAUUCACAGCCUUAUGGGAGAAGAUGAUUUAAAAGAGCAUGGCACCUUCUUCCCCUCUCUCUUUUUCUUCUCCUUUGUCACGUGACAUGUCUGCUGACCUCUGCCUUCCACCAUGGGUGGAAGUUCCCUGAAGCCUUCACUAAAAGCAGAUGCUGGUGCCGUGCUUCUUCUACAGCCUACAGAAUUGUGAGCCAAAUAAGCCUUCUUUUUUUAUAAAUUAUCCAGCUUCAGGUAUUCUUUUAUAGCAACACAAACAGACUAAAACACAGUGCCAUCACUAGAGGCAUUCAAACUGCAAACCAAGAAAUGUGUUGGAUGUCCACUGUUACUGUCACUCCACCAUCUCAGGAUACUUUCAACUCAAUAUCUAGAAAAUUUUUAAUUGCACUCUGGAUUCAAAAACUGAGUUUAUAGCUUGUUUUAACAAUUAACCUUUUUUAAUUUGUGUUUUCAUAGAAAUACCCCUACUUAAAUACCUUAUUGCUUAUACCUCAUAGAGGUUUAACUUAGGUAGGCAUCCUACUUCUGCCAAUACUACUGAGUCCAGAAAUAAGACACAACUCUUUAAGCAGAGGAAUCUAAUCCCAGGACCGACAGACUGGUUCAGUGACAUAUGGGACAAUCUGCCAACUCAGUUUCUGGGCUGUAAAACUUUUGGGGAAAAGUUGCAGAUGGAGAAAUCAUAGGGUUCAGAACAUACUACCCCAAAAUAUGGCACCUUGAUAUAUUGAAUGUUUUAAGCUAAAAGAAUUUGAGAAAGAGUAAGUGCAGGAAUGACUCUGACUUUUCCCUGAAGAAAUCAUAAGAUUUUUGUAUGAGAAGUGCCCUUCCUAUACCUGGGAGAAACCAGUGUCCUUAUCUCUGAAGAUGAAGAGAGAGAGGCUGAGAGGUAUCUAAAUGAACAAGCCUUGAUAAGUUAACCCCAGUUUACUACUCUUAUCUCACACUCCCUAAUCCUACCAUAUUUUUUCAUAACUUUGUCUCUUCAUCAAACCUAGUAUAAAAAGAGUCGGGUUUAACCAUUUUUUCUUUGGGAUCUUCAUUUCAUUAUGGAGUAGCCCAUGUCACAUUAAACUUACAGUAAGCAAAUGCACCAGGUAUGGUGUUGCACACCUGUAAUUCCAGCACUUUGGGAGGCCGAGCUGGGUGGUCACUUGAUCCCAGGAGAUCGAGACCAG